GCCUCCCAAAAACGAUUUUCGUUCUCUUUUGUUUCUUUAUCUGUGUCUCUCUGUAUUUGCUUGAUUUGCGUGUUUUCCCGUUUCGUUUUAUGUGUUAAUGCUUGAUUUGAUUAUGUGUCUAUGUAUUUGUUUCUGUAAAAUUUAGCUUUGCGUUUUGGGUGUCCUCAAAAUCCGACAAUGCAGAUCGAAUGGUUCAAAUAGAGAUUCCGACAUUGAUUUUCAUCCUAGGGUAAGCAUAAUAUUUUCCUGUUCAUAGAACCUCCAGCUUAUAUUCUUUAACUGUGCUUCAUUUUUUCAUUAUUUUAAUUCUGAAGUUAAAUUGUUUAAUUUUACUUUCACUUCGUAGGCCGAUGAGCAAUUCUUUUUUAAUACUGGAGGAUCUUGUGCUCCUUUUUGGGAAAUAGGGGAAUAUUUCAGGUAUUUGCUAAACUUGCUAAGUGCUAACAAAACUGGUACAUGAAUCAUGAUAUAGAGGAUUAUCCAGUUUUAAUUCCCUCGGUUACUUAUAAUGGGACUUUGGUCGGUAUAUGUUAGUUUUUCUAUUCUAUUGGAUAAUUCAUGUCAGUAGUUAUCGCUAAUUUAUAAAUGCAUGCUUGGAAAUUAAACCUACAUUCAUGAUUUUGGAUAUUUGGUUGAUACAAAUAUGAAUUGUUUUGGGGUAACCAAACUUAAUUUCUUUUUCCUUCCUCCUUUGUUAUGAAGUAUGUUCCCAUUUCUUGGUAUUGCAAUCAAAAGGUAAAGCACUUGGGAAAAGAACCUACACAUUAUCAAGAAAUUAAUGUGCUUAGGUUCCAUUAAAAAUAAGUUUUAUAAAAUAGUUGUGGAAGCAACUAGCACAUGGUGCUAGAUCUUGUUUGGAGUGUGACUGUGAAUAUUUGAGUUUGAUGGGCCAUUUCAGAUUGAAAAGUAUGAAGCAACAUAUGUUGCGUGCACCCUGUUUGAUGAUAUCCCUAAAAUGACCGAAUAGUUUUUAUUUAUUUAUCAGUUUUUCUAUAACAUGUCAUCUAUUAUUCAGGAAUGCAAAACAUACAUUAUAGGAGUAUACUUCUACUUGACAGAAUUGGGGAAUAAUAUUUGUUAUAUUUGUAUUGUGUAUAAGAAACAUGUUGAAAUGUACCCUAUUUGCUUGCAUGUGUUUUCUAUUGCACUAUUGCUACUUUUGUCUAAUUUUGUGUUAACAAGAAAAAUGAAGUAGUGCUCACCCGAAGGGCAGAGGUUGUAGCGGCUGCGGGUUUCCCUUCUUACCCAAAAAAAAAAGAAAAAUGAAGUAUGACUUUUAGUUAUUCAAUAUAUCUCGAUUUGUUUCCAUGUAUAUUUGAACUGCUGGCUGACUAAGGUUAGAAAGCCUAGAAAGUGGAAUAAAAAUGGUACAAAAAUCCUUAGGAUUACUGCCAUUAGACUCCCUUAUGGAUUGUGAGGUUGACCAUAAUCUUCAAGGAAUAUAAGAAAUGUUAACAGAACGCUGACAUACAUAAAUUAUAAGGUAUCUGGCUUGGUUUUAAGAUUGAGUCCUGUUGUGGGAGGAGGCUUGCAAAAUAUUGGGACUUCUAUUACAGCAACUCUAUCUGAUAUUAAUUGGCACAACAGUUAGAUCGCCAACCUUAACAUAUUGGGAAGUGGUAAGGAUUUGUAACUAAUUGUUAGUUGAUAAGAGAUUCUACCAUAUGUACUGUUAAUCAUGUUGCAAGAAUAUUGAGAAAAGGCAACCAUUGAGACUAAAUCAAGAACUAUGGUCCUCUGGCUCUUAAUACACAUAAGCUCGGCAUGGAUAGAAGUGGUCGGGAUCACAGCUAUUGCCUGUCUUGCUUGGUGCAACUUGUGCAUGGUAUAGAUUUUGCAUACAGUAGGAAUAUGAAGAACAUGGAGAAUAUCAUUAAAAAACCAUAAGAGACAUCAACGUGUAAUCAAGUAAUAUAUGAGCUUUAGGUUACUCCGGAAAAAGUCCAUUAUUGUGCUCGACUAAUGAAUGAUAUACACAAGUGAUGAUUUUGCAUUAUGAGUCUGGAAAAGACAUUGCUAUUUCGCUGCUAUAUCGUAGCAUUAGAAAGGUCAUGAAGUUACUAAACAUGUAUAUAAUGAAUAUACAACUAAAUUCACUCUUCUCCAUAGCCGAGGAAGCAUUGGCCAUAUUGGUGCCCUUAAAUACAGAGGCGGAGCCAGGAUUUGAAGCCUAUGGGUUCGGGAUUUUAAUCAUGUUUAAGUUACUAGGUUCUAAAUUAAUAAUUUGUACAUGUUUAAUGAAUUUCAUCAAACAAAUACAGAGUUUGAACCAAAGCUACUGGGUUCGGCUGAACCCGUAACUCGCUCUCUAGCUCCGCUCCUGCAUAGAUACCUUGUUAUGCUGUCCUAGCCAUCUCGUUCUUGUUUUGCAUGUGUUCAUACAGAUAAAGGUUACUUUACCCUAAAAAGAAAUUAAUGAUAGCCAUUUUUGGUACUUCUUUGUUAUUCUUACCGGUGAGAAUCUGAAUUAAGUGUUCUGUCUUUCCAUCCUUUGUAGCCAUAGGAAUGCAAUAGCAAUUUUGUCGUAUGAGUUUGGUUCAAAUGGAUACCUAUUAUCCCUUUACAGGUAAAGCUGUAAAUAUUUAACACCUCUUAUCAAAUGCAAAGAUCUUGUAACCUUUCUUACUCUGUAUAAGGUAAAUACUUAGCUUUUGGGUGGCAUCCUUUUGAAAAGACAUGUUCUAGCUAUUUUUACACGUGGUCUUUGAGUCCUCCAACAAUAAUCAGUUGCACAAUCUAUUAUAAAGAUCUAGCAGUGUACAACAUGAUGUCCUCUUCUAAUAAAUUCUCUUUUGUGAUUUAGAAGGACUUAUGACAUUCUAAACUAACACCAUAAAUAAUAUUUAAAUAUUUAUUCCGCUAGCGUAUUACGGAAAAUCAUACUGUUAGAAUAAUUGCAAAGAUACUGCUAAAUGGGAGAGUCGAUAGAAACUACAACAACAUACCCAGUAGCUUUCCACAAGUGGGGUCUGGGGAGGGUAAGAUGUACGCAUCCUUACUCCUACCCCUGGAAGGGCAGAGAGGUUGUUUUCGAUAAGACUCUCGGCUAGAGAACGACUGAAAAAGAAAAGGUAAUUUUAACAAGUAGGAAUAACAGUAAGAUGAAAUAAGAUCGAAUCCAAGAAUUCAGUCAAACUCUAGGUAGUAAUAGACAUUUAUAAAUAAAAGAUAUCAUACUAACACUAAUGCUAGCGAACUGAGCAAGACAAAGAGAAACGCUCGACUACCUACGAACCUUCUACCCUAAUCUUUGACCUCCACAUCCUCUUGUCUAGGGCCAUGUCUUCAGUUAGCUCCAGCUCUGCCAUGUCUCGCCUAAUAACCUCUCCCCAAGACUUCUUAGGCCUACCUCUACCCCUCCUGCUGCCCACCGAGGCUAACCGCUCGCACCUUCUAACUGGGGCUUCUAUACUUCUCCUCUUUAUAUGCCCGAACCAUCUCAACCUUGCCUCCCGCAUCUUAUCCUCCACAGGAGUCACUCUCACUUUUUUCCGAAUAACUUCAUUCCUACUCGUAUCUAACCGGGUGUGCCCACACAUCCACCUCAACAUACUCAUCUCUGCUACUUUUAGCUUCUGGGUAAGAGAGUUCUUGACUGGCCAACACUCUACUCCAUACAAUAUAGUUGGUCUAACUACAACCUUGUAGAACUUACCUUUAAGUCUCAGCGGCAUAUUCUUAUCACACAAGACAUCGGAAGCGAGCCUCUACUUCAUCCAUCCUGCUCCCAUACGAUGCGUGACAUCUUCAUCAAUCUCCUUGUUACCUUAUAUUAUAGAUCCAAGAUACUUGAAACUACCUCUUGGGGAUGACUUGCAUAUCAAGCCUCACCUCCAUAUCCCCUUCCUGGGUACCGUUGCUGAACUUGCACUCCAUGUAUUCCGUCUUGGUCCUACUCAACUUGAAAUCCUUAGAUUCUAGGGUCUGCCUCCAAACCUACAACCUCUCGUUAACACCACCCUGUGUCUCGUCAAUUAAAAUUAUGUCAUCAGCAAAUAACAUACACCAUGGCACCUCACCUUAAAUGUGUCUCGUCAAUGCGUCCAUCGCCAAGAAAAAUAGGAAUGGACUAAGAGUUGAUCCCUUGUACAACCCCAUCAUAAUCGGAAAGUGUUCCGAGUCUCCUCCAGCUGUCCUAACCCGAGAUUUAACUUCAUCAUACAUGUCCUUAAUCACCCUAAUAUAGGCUACUGGGACCCCUUUAGCCUCAAAGCAUCGCGAGAUCACCUCUCUCAUAACUUUGUCAUAUGUUUUCUCUAGAUCAAUGAACACCAUGUGCAAGUCCUUCUUCAUCUCCCUAUACCGCUCCACCAAUCUUCUCACAAUGUGAAUGGCCUCCAUAAUUGAACGCCCCUGCAUGAAACCGAACUGAUUCUCAAAAAUGGACCCACUGGUCCUUACCCUCACUUCAACCACCAUCUCCCAAACUUUCAUAGUAUGGCUUAGCAGCUUAAUCCCCCUAUAAUUAUUGCAAUUUUGGAUAUCUUCAUUGUUUUUAUACAGAGGAAUCAUUGUACUUCACCUCCAUUCAUCGGGCAUCUUCUUCGUCCUAAAAAUGACGUUGAACAGCCUGGUGAGCCACUCCAAACCUGCCCUACCCGCAUUCUUCCAAAAUUCCACAGGUAUUUCAUCUGGCCCGGUAGUUCUACCGCUUGUGCAUCUUAUGCAUAGCCCCCUGACCUCCUCUACUCUUAUGCGCCUACAAUACCCGAAAUCCCGACGCAUCUCGGAGUGCUCCAAGUCGCCCAGCACAAUGUCCCUAUCACCCUCUUCGUUCAGGAGUUUAUGGAAAUAUGUCUGCCAUCUUCGUCUAAUUUGAGCCUCUUCCAUCAAAACUCUACCUUCCUCAUCUUUGAUACACUUAACUUGAUCCAGGUCACGGGCCUUCCUCUCUCUCACCUAGGGCUGGGCAUAUAUCGGGUAAAACCGAUAACCUGAACCGUUAAUUGUUUAUUGAGUUAUCGGUAUCGUGUUAUUGGGUUAACGGUUCGGUAACGGUUUAGAAUUUUUUCACUAUUGAGUUAUCGCUUCGGGCCUCGGUUUGACAAUUUUGUUAAUGGGUUAACCGAUAACCCAAUAAGAAUUAAUAAAAUUAUGACUUUACCCUUAAGUAUAUACAUAUGCUAGGGCUUCAGUUCAUUCUCUUAUUCUUUCUCAGCCACACUCUUCAGUUGCUUCAUCUUCAUUCUUUGUAGACUUUACUAGUUACUCCUAGCAUAACUCUUUAGUCUUAUACAUUAGGCUUUUAAUUUCUAUAACAAAAUUCAUCUUUAUAUAGGGAUUGCUUUAUGGUUUCUUUUUUCAGGUUAGACAUUUGACAAACAACAUUCAAUUUAUCUUGGACUGUUUGAGGGCUUCAACGCUUGUGGAAGUGCAGGUAUUGUGUGAAAUAAAAAUUCUAAAUCAAAAGCCCAAACGUCGCAGUCUUAGCCGCAGUAACCGCUAAAUAAUUAUAGGCAAUCAAGAAUUAGGCUUAAACUAACGCAAACUAAUUGGAUACUAACAAGGGAGACAGAGAUAUUAAACAAAGAACAAGAGGUACCAACUCCCGAUUAGUGCGAAACCUGGGUGAAUCGUCGUAAAUGACAAGGCCGCGCUUUUGUAGUAACCUUAGUCAAUUUCCUACUGCCUCCAACCGAUUUUGACGUCCGCCACACGCUCUAAUCCAGUAGUGAAUGCCUGCAAAAAUAGAAGGGGGGUUCAAAGGGAAAAAAGGGGAGGAAGAACAAAGGUAUGCAAAGAAAAACCCAAAUAGCAAUUCACUAAAAAGAUUGUAACUUUAAAUUCAGUUGGAAAAAUAGUGGAAAACAAAGUGAUUGAUUUCAGAAAAGGAUCAGAUUUUAUGGGAAAUCUUGGAAAACGUUUCAAGAAAUGAAUAUUUGGAAAAAAGAAGAAUAGAGUGAAAAAGAAGAUGAAUGAAUCAAAACUAAGGCGUCAGCUAAAAGAAACAACACAGUAAGAAACAAAAAUAACCGUAUUAACAAAAUUAAAAAAGAGAUUGUAUUAGUCUCGUUCUCUGUUUGUUUCUGUAACAGAGUCGUAGCUGCAAAACCCUAGGCCAAGAAGAAAAUGGAGAAUCGAAGCAAAGUAAAGCCAUUUGUAAAAAUCGAAUAAAUUUGCUAUUUUAGUUAUGUGUUUCCGGUCGAUAGAAUCUACGACUUAAAAUUUUAAUUUUGAGCACUCAAAACUGCAGAACAUAGCAAUGCUUGCAAAUUUUCACUUUGCAUAUAUUCUUGCAGAUAGUGAAAAAGGUCAUACUGUAUGUUUUAACUUUUUGGUUCUUGUGUUUCUCUUAUCUUUGAGAAGUUGGAUAGGUCACUCAUCCAAGUUAGUUUGUGCAGCUUUUUACCUGCUUUUGACUUAACACUGUAUUUUAAUUUUCUACAAAAUACUUACUCGACAGUAAUUUAUUGUACAGCACGUUACGCUUCUCUAUUUGCAGUAGUCAUAUUUUAAUGAUCAAACGGUUGGCUACAUCAUGUAAUUGACAGGUUCUGAUAUAUUCGUCAAAGAGUUAAAACGAAAAAAAAGCUCAUCACAAGAGAACUUAAGCGGGUAAAGUGAUCAAUCUUC
This 6573-nucleotide long non-coding RNA is filed under the name Nicotiana tabacum (common tobacco). RNAcentral describes it as "long non-coding RNA (NTAB_LNC005586)". Lineage: Eukaryota; Viridiplantae; Streptophyta; Magnoliopsida; Solanales; Solanaceae. The record is from RNAcentral.